AGUGAACGCUGGCGGUAGGCCUAACACAUGCAAGUCGAACGGCAGCACAGUAAGAGCUUGCUCUUACGGGUGGCGAGUGGCGGACGGGUGAGGAAUACAUCGGAAUCUACUUUUUCGUGGGGGAUAACGUAGGGAAACUUACGCUAAUACCGCAUACGACCUACGGGUGAAAGCAGGGGAUCUUCGGACCUUGCGCGAUUGAAUGAGCCGAUGUCGGAUUAGCUAGUUGGCGGGGUAAAGGCCCACCAAGGCGACGAUCCGUAGCUGGUCUGAGAGGAGGAUCAGCCACACUGGAGCUGAGACACGGUCCAGACUCCUACGGGAGGCAGCAGUGGGGAAUAUUGGACAAUGGGCGCAAGCCUGAUCCAGCCAUACCGCGUGGGUGAAGAAGGCCUUCGGGUUGUAAAGCCCCUUUGUUGGGAAAGAAAAGCAGCAGGUUAAGACCCCGCUGUUCUGACGGUACCCAAAGAAUAAGCACCGGCUAACUUCGUG
Molecule: ribosomal RNA, 492 nt
Filed under: uncultured bacterium
Lineage: Bacteria
Description: partial 16S ribosomal RNA
Rfam family: Bacterial small subunit ribosomal RNA
Source: RNAcentral